AGAGGAAGUAAAAGUCGUAACAAGGUUUCCGUAGGUGAACCUGCGGAAGGAUCAUUAAUGAAACUUCAAAGUCGGCCAAAGGUUGUUGCUGGUGAUUAUUCACAUGUGCACGCCUUUGGUCGCAAAUCCACACACACCUGUGCAUCUAUGACUCGAGGUUGUAAUGACUGAGAGUAACUUUUAUACACUCUUGUAUGUAAUGGAAUGUCUUUUUGUGCUAUAAUGUACAAUAUAAACAACUUUCAACAACGGAUCUCUUGGCUCUCGCAUCGAUGAAGAACGCAGCGAAAUGCGAUAAGUAAUGUGAAUUGCAGAAUUCAGUGAAUCAUCGAAUCUUUGAACGCACCUUGCACCCUUUGGUAUUCCGAAGGGUACGCCCGUUUGAGUGUCAUUGUAAUCUCACUUCUACAACUUUAUUGUUGUUUGAAUGUGGACUUGGAUGUUGCCGUUUUAUCACGGCUCGUCUUAAAUGCCUGAGUGUACCCUGUUUUGCAGCGUAUCCAGUGUAAUAAACAUUUCACUAGAGUUGGUCGAAAGACCGCGUUGACUAUAUGGGCUCUAUGCUUCAAACCGUCUGCCAUGUGGACAAUUUCUUGACAAUUUGACCUCAAAUCGGGUGGGACUACCCGCUGAACUUAAGCAUAUCAAUAAGCGGAGGAAAAGAAACUAACAAGGAUUCCCCUAGUAACGGCGAGUGAAGAGGGAAAAGCUCAAAUUUUAAAUCUGGUGUCUUUGACUCCCGAGUUGUAAUCUAGAGAAGUGUUUUCCGUGUCGGACCGUGUACAAGUUCCCUGGAACGGGGCGUCAUAGAGGGUGAGAAUCCCGUAUAUGCCAUGGACUACCGAUGCUCUGUGAUACACUCUCAACGAGUCGAGUUGUUUGGGAAUGCAGCUCAAAAUGGGUGGUAAAUUCCAUCUAAAGCUAAAUAUUGGCGAGAGACCGAUAGCGAACAAGUACCGUGAGGGAAAGAUGAAAAGCACUUUGGAAAGAGAGUGAAACAGUACGUGAAAUUGUUGAAAGGGAAGCGUUUGAAGUCAGUCGCAUCUGUUGGGGUUCAGCCUGGCUUUUGCCUGGUGUAUUUCCUUUCUGAUGGGUCAGCAUCAGUUUUGACCGAGGGAAAAAGACAUUUGGAAUGUGGCUGUCUUCGGGCAGUGUUAUAGCCUUGUGUUGUAUGUCUCGGUUGGGACUGAGGAUUGCAGCGCGCCAUAAAUGGCCGGGGGUCGCUCCUCUCGACACGCGCUUAGGAUGCUGGCAUAAUGGCUUUAAGCGACCCGUCUUG
This 1279-nucleotide ribosomal RNA is filed under the name uncultured Sebacina. RNAcentral's name for it is "eukaryotic LSU rRNA". The stretch from base 603 to 1279 matches the Rfam family "Eukaryotic large subunit ribosomal RNA", at positions 1 to 656 of the family's 3401-position model. Lineage: Eukaryota; Fungi; Basidiomycota; Agaricomycetes; Sebacinales; Sebacinaceae. The record is from RNAcentral.